GCUCGGCUAGCUCAGUGGUAGAGCGCAAGGCUUUUAUUUAACGUUAGGGCCGAUCGCGGUCGUUAUCGGCCCAUCCAACAAAUUCACCUUGUGGUCGGCGGUUCGAUCCCGUCGUCGAGCA
RNAcentral lists this transfer RNA (121 nucleotides) under Micromonas pusilla CCMP1545. It matches the Rfam family "tRNA". From Rfam's summary of the family: Transfer RNA (tRNA) molecules are approximately 80 nucleotides in length. Their secondary structure includes four short double-helical elements and three loops (D, anti-codon, and T loops). Further hydrogen bonds mediate the characteristic L-shaped molecular structure. tRNAs have two regions of fundamental functional importance: the anti-codon, which is responsible for specific mRNA codon recognition, and the 3' end, to which the tRNAs corresponding amino acid is attached (by aminoacyl-tRNA synthetases). tRNAs cope with the degeneracy of the genetic code in two manners: having more than one tRNA (with a specific anti-codon) for a particular amino acid; and 'wobble' base-pairing, i.e. permitting non-standard base-pairing at the 3rd anti-codon position. Lineage: Eukaryota; Viridiplantae; Chlorophyta; Mamiellophyceae; Mamiellales; Mamiellaceae. The record is from Rfam by way of RNAcentral.